RNAcentral lists this ribosomal RNA (322 nucleotides) under uncultured bacterium. Its description in RNAcentral is "partial 16S ribosomal RNA". It matches the Rfam family "Bacterial small subunit ribosomal RNA", at positions 355 to 692 of the family's 1533-position model. The record is from RNAcentral.
UGGGGAAUAUUGGACAAUGGGGGCAACCCUGAUCCAGCAAUGCCGCGUGUGUGAAGAAGGUCUUCGGAUUGUAAAGCACUUUCGACGGGGACGAUGAUGACGGUACCCGUAAAAGAAGCCCCGGCUAACUUCGUGCCAGCAGCCGCGGUAAUACGAAGGGGGGCUAGCGUUGCUCGGAAUGACUGGGCGUAAAGGGCGUGUAGGCGGUUUACACAGUCAGAUGUGAAAUCCCCCGGGCUUAACCUGGGAGCUGCAUUUGAUACGUGUAGACUAGAGUGUGAGAGAGGGUUGUGGAAUUCCCAGUGUAGAGGUGAAAUUCGUA